Molecule: non-coding RNA, 72 nt
Filed under: bovine gut metagenome
Description: TPP riboswitch (THI element)
Rfam family: TPP riboswitch aptamer (THI element)
About the family: Vitamin B(1) in its active form thiamin pyrophosphate (TPP) is an essential coenzyme that is synthesised by coupling of pyrimidine and thiazole moieties in bacteria.
Source: RNAcentral
GACAGGGGUGCCUAAGAGGCUGAGAUUAAACCCUUAUAACUUGUUCAGGAUAAUACCUGCGAAAGGAGACAA